Molecule: ribosomal RNA, 404 nt
Filed under: Fusobacteriota bacterium
Lineage: Bacteria; Fusobacteriati; Fusobacteriota
Description: Fusobacteria bacterium partial 16S ribosomal RNA
Rfam family: Bacterial small subunit ribosomal RNA
Source: RNAcentral
UGGGGAAUAUUGCACAAUGGAGGGAACUCUGAUGCAGCGACGCCGCGUGAGUGAUGAAGGAAUUCGUUUCGUAAAACUCUGUUCUAUGGGAAGAAAAGGACUGUACCAUAGGAGAAAGCUCCGGCUAAAUACGUGCCAGCAGCCGCGGUAAUACGUAUGGAGCGAGCGUUGUCCGGAAUUAUUGGGCGUAAAGGGUGCGCAGGCGGCUUUACAAGUUGGAUGUGAAAUAUUGUGGCUCAACCACAAACGUGCAUCCAAAACUGCAAAGCUUGAGUUAAGGAGAGGUAAGUGGAAUUCCUGGUGUAGAGGUGGAAUGCGUAGAUAUCAGGAGUAAUACCGGUGGCGAAGGCGACUUACUGGACUUAAACUGACGCUCAGGCACGAAAGCGUGGGGAGCAAACAGG